AUCAGGUGUUACUCUGAAGCUUUGAGUAAUCUAUUUUCUUAUUUUUCUCUCUGCCCUUUCUUCUUCCCUCCCCCUUUUCAAGCAGGGAGCUAGUCCUGUGUUCAUUGAACUCAAGGGAAGUGGGUGGAGGGCAGAAAGCAGAAAUCCUGGCUUUUGCUUUUAAAAGCCUAAGCCCCAAAGAGAUGAGAAGAUUCAGGGCAUGGAUAAUGUAUCUUGAUCAGGACUAUGGAGCAAGAAGGAUUUCCUCCCCUUUGAAGACUGUCAUUCCUGUUUACAGUGAAUGAGAGUAGAGGAGUCUAUGGAUCCUGAAGGAGGAACCCGGCCUUGUCUUCUUGGAGGUGUGCUGAGAAAGGGAUGCCUGUGCGUAUCCAGGGAGACCUAUAAAAAGAUCCAAGGUCUCAGGAACAGCCUAUAGAAGAAGCAAGGGGGCUCACUCAGAUCUGAAGAAGCCAUGCUGUGAAAUAUGACUUGAUGACCAGAAGGUCUCCUAGUGCCUUGGUGCCUCAGAAACAGCCUUCUCUUUGGACACAGGGAUGAAGGAUGCCAAAACAGACUGAAAUUAAGUUUCCUGCCAGCCCUGGAAUGAGUGCUCAAAUAGAAAUUAAGCAAACAUUUGGAUCAUAUCAGCGGUACUGGCAGGCAAUCUCUACCUUGUGCCUAGCUGGAAGCACCCCAGAUCUCCUUUAUGCCAGCUGCUCAUCCGUUCCAGGUGGACAGCUUUAAAUAGAGAUGGAGGUCAGAGAUCUCACAGGCUCCCUCAAACAGAACUGCAUCUCAUCUCGAGCCUCCCAGCUCUGUGCCUACAUGCUGCCCCAGACCUCAGGCUGUCCACUGAUGUCAGCAUUGCCUGCACCGGGGUGACCCUCAUUUCUUUGUGCAUCUCCUUCAUCUCUGCCAGCUCUGGGUAUGGAGCUAGGAACAAGUGCUACUUUGUUGGACUGUAUCAGCUGGGAUCAACUUGCUGGACUCUUGUGACAGGGCUGAAAGUUCAGUGGAUGGACUGCUGUUUGGGAAAGUUGGUGAUAGGCCCACAGUAAUCCCAUCCAAGGGUCAUGUCAUCUCCAGCUCCUCCUUGCCUCAUAUCCCCAAAGUCUCCUCUUCUUCUUCCCUGAGUUCCUCCCCUUCUCACCCCAACACAAGAGCUUUUGUGAAAAGCUUAUGUUCCCUGACUAUAGCAGAAUUCUCUUUAAAAGAAAGCUUACCUUUCUAACUCCAAAAGCUUCAUGAGCUAUUUAACGGUAAUUAUAUUUAUUAUGGAUAAUUUUCUAUACAUUCAUCCAGUCUGGGGUGUAUGCCUUAUCCCCCUUUAUGGCUUGAUCAGAAAUUUAAGAUUUUCCUCCCAGCUCACUCUCCUCUCAUACGGAUAUUGUCUAAAAGGAAAUAUAUACAGUGUUCUUAAAUGAUGCUGUCACCUCUCACUCAAGGGAAGGAAAAACUGUUCCAG
RNAcentral lists this long non-coding RNA (1444 nucleotides) under Vulpes vulpes (red fox). RNAcentral describes it as "lncRNA (ENSVVUG00000000842.1)". Lineage: Eukaryota; Metazoa; Chordata; Mammalia; Carnivora; Canidae. The record is from RNAcentral.